This is a non-coding RNA of Vicugna pacos (alpaca), 1496 nucleotides long. Lineage: Eukaryota; Metazoa; Chordata; Mammalia; Artiodactyla; Camelidae. The record is from RefSeq and is a predicted model, not a curated record.
CCUGCACUUCCCGGGCCAGGAGACUGUGAACUCUGAAAGAGAGACGGGGUGUAGAGGAUUUCCUGGACCCGCGACUGUAAGGGCUGCGGGAGUAAGGGGCAGGGGCUUCAAGACGGCAGAGUAGAAGGAUGUGAAGCUCACUGUCUUCCACAAAUAACAUCAAAAAUUCAUCUACAUGUGGAACAAUCCUCACAGAAUACCUACUGAACUCUGGUAGAAGAUCUUAUAUAACUGCAACUACAAGAAAAAUCUUCAAGUAACCAGUCCUUUUCAGUCAGGCCAUGCCUGUUUUGUUUUUAAAUGGUGCUAAGAAUCCACCUGAAAGAGGCUUUCCUUGGCUAGAGUCAAAGGCUGCAGUGCCUCUGGCUACCUUCCUACCUCACUGGCUUGGCAUCCGCAGCAGAGUGAAGUCUUUGUCUUUGCUUAGUUUCAAUCUGGAGCUACCAGAUUCUCCUUGGAAAGAAGAGUCUUUGAAUUUCCUUGGGCUAAAGACUGCCACCUCCCUCCUCACCUGCACUAGGACAGUGAAGAGAUGCCUGUCCUGAAGAGGGCUUCCACGAGAGCCAGGGUACUCCCAAUCAAAGUCCAGCCCGUCAAAUCCAUACUGACGCAGGAAUUUGAUGACUGAGGCGAUGAAAGUCUGGCGGUUCUCCUGAGUGGAAACCAUGGCAGUGAAACUGAAGGGGAUCCAAAGAAAGUAGGGUGAGGCCUUGGUUGUCCCAACACCUUGUAGUGAAAUCAAACCCCUAUAUUACUUCCUCAGAGCUCUUCGCCAGGACCACAGCCCAGAAAAAAGUAUGUUCUUGGUUUUCUCCUGUCCUUACUUUGUAAUCACUGCUGUGCCCAACCAUGGUACCUCAAUGUUCUCUUUAUUUUGUUAUCCACCUGACUCUAAUGUUUUUCCUAAAUUGCACUUGUUGCUUUAAACACCUGGCUCCGCUGGCUCACUGUGUUCUCUCUCCAAAUAGUUGCCCAAGUUUGUACACCCUCGAGGAUGUCUUCUUCUUUAUUUGCAUGACUUCCUUUUCUUUUUUCCCAGAAAGUAAAUAGAGAGAUGUCCUUUAACACUCUCCUCAGGAGUUUUGCUUUUGAAAUACUUUAAGAAGAGAUUGUUAUAGAUAGACGAGAUUAUACUGUAUAGCACAGGGAAAUAUACACAAAAUCUUAUGGUAGCUCACAGAGAAAAAAAGUGACAAUGAGUGUGUAAAUGUCUAUGUAUGACUGAAAAAUUGUGCUGAACACUGAAAUUUGACACAACAUUGUAAAAUGAUUAUAAAUCAAUAAAAAUGUUAUUUAAAAAAAAGAAGAGGUUGUUUUAAAACCUCAGUAACUAAACUUCUGUGAGUGGGGUUCCAGAAUAUCCAUCUAAAUGUAAACACACAAUAAACUGUGUUCUAUUUAAUAUUCAGAUUCUAGUGUAGCAAUUUAUUUAAGUAGCAGAUCUGUUUAGUGUACAUUCCUAAUAUCCUGACUUAGAUUGUGAAAUCUGAAGGGAC